GCCAGUGUGGUAUAGUGGUUUGAGCACUAGACCUCAACUCUGGAGACCAUGGUUUGAAUCCCUUCUCAGCCA
Non-coding RNA from Phrynosoma platyrhinos (Desert horned lizard), 72 nucleotides. The record is from the annotation of a GenBank genome assembly. NCBI's taxonomy places the organism in Eukaryota, Metazoa, Chordata, Lepidosauria, Squamata, Phrynosomatidae.